Non-coding RNA from Annulohypoxylon nitens, 87 nucleotides. The record is from the annotation of a GenBank genome assembly. Lineage: Eukaryota; Fungi; Ascomycota; Sordariomycetes; Xylariales; Hypoxylaceae.
GGUCGAAUGGCCGGGUGGUUAUUGUACUACUCCUAAGUCAAUUAGGUAAUUCAGUAGUCCUCGUGGGUUCAAGUCCCACAUCGAUCA